GUUGACUUGUGAACCGACCGGUGAACCGCGAGCAACUUUCGAGUGGAACUAACCGCUGAUUCUUCAGUGACAAACUUAGCUUGGGCUACAAAAAAAGUGACUCUGUGACUUUUUAAAAAGUUGUCAGGACGUAAAUGAUAGGAAGACAUUUUAGACGAUAAGUGGCCAGACCUGUCAAACACCUGUAUACAGGUGGAGGUUAGCAAACCGGAGCGUCCAUUACAGCUCACAGCACGAUGAGCGGCAUCAAAGUGUCAGUUGGAGAAAGAGAGUCACCAAGAGCAGAAGAGGAUAAGAGAGGCUCCCCAUCUGGAUGGAAGACAGUCCUCUGUGUGCCUGAUUAAUGGUGUGGAGAGACAGUUGCCAGUUCUGAAGCCUUGCUGUCUGGCCCAGGUCAAAACUUCCAGAAGGCAACCUAAUGGUAAGGUGUGAAAGGAUCAUUCCAAGUCUCAAAGGAGAGGCUUCUUUCAAUAUCCUCAAAGGUCCCAUAACAGCCCACCAGUCUGUGUUCAGCUCACCUCCACCCCUCAUCCCACCCUUGCUAUCUCGUUUUCCUCAUCUGGCCCAGGCCCACUUCCACAUCUACAUCCCAUUGUCUGAGUGAAGGCAGCACGCGCAGGGCUGCGGCCAGUCCAAACAUACUCAUCUCUUUCUCUGGACGACUGCCAGCAUUCUUUGAAAAACGCUGCACAGUCCCAGUGCAGGGUGCACUACGUGAUACAGACCCACUCCG
Long non-coding RNA from Amphiprion ocellaris (clown anemonefish), 733 nucleotides. NCBI's taxonomy places the organism in Eukaryota, Metazoa, Chordata, Actinopteri, Pomacentridae. The record is from Ensembl.